Molecule: ribosomal RNA, 454 nt
Filed under: uncultured bacterium
Lineage: Bacteria
Description: bacterial SSU rRNA
Rfam family: Bacterial small subunit ribosomal RNA
Source: RNAcentral
UACGGGAGGCAGCAGUGGGGAAUAUUGCACAAUGGGCGCAAGCCUGAUGCAGCCAUGCCGCGUGUAUGAAAAAGGCCUUCGGGUUGUAAAGUACUUUCAGUCGUGAGGAAGGUGUUAAGGUUAAUAACCUUAGCAAUUGACGUUAGCGACAGAAGAAGCACCGGCUAACUCCGUGCCAGCAGCCGCGGUAAUACGGAGGUGCGAGCGUUAAUCGGAAUUACUGGGCGUAAAGGGCACGCAGGCGGUUAAUUAAGUUGGAUGUGAAAUCCCCGGGCUUAACCUGGGAAUGGCAUUCAAGACUGGUUAGCUAGAGUCUUGUAGAGGGGGUAGAAAUUCCAUGUGUAGCGGUGAAAUGCGUAGAGAUGUGGAGGAAUACCGGUGGCGAAGGCGGCCCCCUGGACAAAGACUGACGCUCAUGUGCGAAAGCGUGGGGAGCAAACAGGGAUUAGAUACC